This 497-nucleotide ribosomal RNA is filed under the name uncultured bacterium. RNAcentral describes it as "partial 16S ribosomal RNA". It matches the Rfam family "Bacterial small subunit ribosomal RNA", at positions 28 to 507 of the family's 1533-position model. The record is from RNAcentral.
GAUGAACGCUGGCGGCGUGCCUAAUACAUGCAGGUCGAGCGAACGGACGAGAAGCUUGCUUCUCUGAUGUUAGCGGCGGACGGGUGAGUAACACGUGGAUAACCUACCUAUAAGACUGGGAUAACUUCGGGAAACCGGAGCUAAUACCGGAUAAUAUUUUGAACCGCAUGGUUCAAAAGUGAAAGACGGUCUUGCUGUCACUUAUAGAUGGAUCCGCGCUGCAUUAGCUAGUUGGUAAGGUAACGGCUUACCAAGGCAACGAUGCAUAGCCGACCUGAGAGGGUGAUCGGCCACACUGGAACUGAGACACGGUCCAGACUCCUACGGGAGGCAGCAGUAGGGAAUCUUCCGCAAUGGGCGAAAGCCUAACGGAGCAACGCCGCGUGAGUGAUGAAGGUCUUCGGAUCGUAAAACUCUGUUAUUAGGGAAGAACAUAUGUGUAAGUAACUGUGCACAUCUUGACGGUACCUAAUCAGAAAGCCACGGCUAACUACGUG